GACAGAGGUGCCAAGCGUUAGGCGGAAUCACUGGGCUUAAAGCGUGUGUAGGUGGAUUUGUAAGUACCUUGUGAAAUCCCAUGGCUCAACCAUGGAAUUGCUCGGUAUACUGCGAAUCUUGAGCCACUUAGGGGCUACCGGAACAAAUGGUGGAGCGGUGAAAUGCGUAGAUAUCAUUUGGAACGCCAAUGGUGAAAACAGGUAGCUGGGAGUGUGCUGACACUGAGACACGAAAGCCAGGGGAGCGAACGGG
RNAcentral lists this ribosomal RNA (253 nucleotides) under uncultured bacterium. RNAcentral's name for it is "partial 16S ribosomal RNA". It matches the Rfam family "Bacterial small subunit ribosomal RNA", at positions 524 to 776 of the family's 1533-position model. The record is from RNAcentral.